This 373-nucleotide ribosomal RNA is filed under the name uncultured organism. Its description in RNAcentral is "partial 16S ribosomal RNA". It matches the Rfam family "Bacterial small subunit ribosomal RNA", at positions 527 to 896 of the family's 1533-position model. The record is from RNAcentral.
GUAGGUGGCAAGCGUUGUCCGGAAUUAUUGGGCGUAAAGCGCGCGCAGGCGGUCCUUUAAGUCUGAUGUGAAAGCCCACGGCUCAACCGUGGAGGGUCAUUGGAAACUGGGGGACUUGAGUACAGAAGAGGAAAGCGGAAUUCCAAGUGUAGCGGUGAAAUGCGUAGAGAUUUGGAGGAACACCAGUGGCGAAGCGGCCUUCUGGUCUGUAACUGACGCUGAGGCGCGAAAGCGUGGGGAGCAAACAGGAUUAGAUACCCUGGUAGUCCACGCCGUAAACGAUGAGUGCUAAGUGUUAGGGGGUUUCCCGCCCCCCUUAGUGCUGCAGCUAACGCAUUAAGCACUCCGCCUGGGGAGUACGGCCGCAAGGCUG